This is a small nuclear RNA of Pygocentrus nattereri (red-bellied piranha), 173 nucleotides long. Its record names the gene U4. It matches the Rfam family "U4 spliceosomal RNA". Rfam says of the family: U4 small nuclear RNA (U4 snRNA) is a component of the major U2-dependent spliceosome. NCBI's taxonomy places the organism in Eukaryota, Metazoa, Chordata, Actinopteri, Characiformes, Serrasalmidae. The record is from Ensembl.
UUUAUUUCGCAGAGGCAAUAUCGUAGCCUGUGAGGUUAAUCCGAGGCGUGUUCAUUGCUGGUUGAAAACUUUUUGGGGGCAGUCGUGGGCUGGAGGUUAGGGAACCGGCCCUGUGACCAGAAGGUCGCCGGUUCGAUCCCCAGCCAGUCCAUGACUGAGGUGUCCUUGAGAAA